GGGCUGGCUUUAGCCUAGCGGUUCCUUUGACUCUGGCUUCCCAACCGCCCAGGUCGCUGGCUUCCAUGGGUUCGGUGGUUCGAGACCCGCAGGCACUCUCCAGUCCUUUA
Unclassified non-coding RNA from Cavia aperea (Brazilian guinea pig), 110 nucleotides. Its record names the gene Vault. It matches the Rfam family "Vault RNA". Rfam says of the family: This family of RNAs are found as part of the enigmatic vault ribonucleoprotein complex. The complex consists of a major vault protein (MVP), two minor vault proteins (VPARP and TEP1), and several small untranslated RNA molecules. It has been suggested that the vault complex is involved in drug resistance. The record is from Ensembl. NCBI's taxonomy places the organism in Eukaryota, Metazoa, Chordata, Mammalia, Rodentia, Caviidae.